AAAUUGAAGAGUUUGAUCAUGGCUCAGAUUGAACGCUGGCGGCAGGCCUAACACAUGCAAGUCGAACGGUAGCACAGAGAGCUUGCUCUCGGGUGACGAGUGGCGGACGGGUGAGUAAUGUCUGGGAAACUGCCUGAUGGAGGGGGAUAACUACUGGAAACGGUGGCUAAUACCGCAUAACGUCGCAAGACCAAAGAGGGGGACCUUCGGGCCUCUUGCCAUCAGAUGUGCCCAGAUGGGAUUAGCUAGUUGGUGAGGUAACGGCUCACCAAGGCGACGAUCCCUAGCUGGUCUGAGAGGAUG
Molecule: ribosomal RNA, 303 nt
Filed under: Salmonella enterica
Lineage: Bacteria; Pseudomonadati; Pseudomonadota; Gammaproteobacteria; Enterobacterales; Enterobacteriaceae
Description: partial 16S ribosomal RNA
Rfam family: Bacterial small subunit ribosomal RNA
Source: RNAcentral